CCCUAAUAUAAAAGAAGAAUUAUGUGAAUGAAAAUGAAAGUUUUUGGCGGUUAAUUGUUAUUUAGAGGAGCUUGUUACUUUAGUCAAGAAUUUACUCUUUAUAUUUUAUAUAUAUAUAAAGUUUAUUCAUCUCCGUUAUUUAGGUAACUAAUCAGCGAAAUUUAUUUUACAAUCUCAGGUCUAGAUGUAGCAUUUAUUAUAGGUAAUUAGCUACAGUUGUAAAACAAUGGAUUUUUGUUUAAAAUCAAAAGGAAAAUGAAUUUGAUUGUAAUUUUAGUUAAAAGGCUAAGAUGAAUUAUUAUAAUUANUGUA
Molecule: ribosomal RNA, 312 nt
Filed under: Mitogoniella indistincta
Lineage: Eukaryota; Metazoa; Arthropoda; Arachnida; Opiliones; Gonyleptidae
Description: partial small subunit ribosomal RNA
Source: RNAcentral